AGACCCCGUGAACCUUUACUACAGCUUGGCACUGAACAUUGACCCUACAUGUGUAGGAUAGGUGGGAGGCUUUGAAGCGCAGUCGCUAGAUUGCGUGGAGCCGUCCUUGAAAUACCACCCUUGUAGUGUUGAUGUUCUAACGUCGACCCCUUAUCGGGGUUGCGGACAGUGCCUGGUGGGUAGUUUGACUGGGGCGGUCUCCUCCCAAAGCGUAACGGAGG
RNAcentral lists this ribosomal RNA (221 nucleotides) under Vibrio alginolyticus. RNAcentral's name for it is "partial 23S ribosomal RNA". It matches the Rfam family "Bacterial large subunit ribosomal RNA", at positions 2086 to 2306 of the family's 2925-position model. Lineage: Bacteria; Pseudomonadati; Pseudomonadota; Gammaproteobacteria; Vibrionales; Vibrionaceae. The record is from RNAcentral.